AGUGUAUAUAUAGUAUGUGUUUGUAUAUAUAGUAAUGUGUUUUCAAGAUUGAAGAUCUUUAAAGAAACCUACAUUCAAAUGAACAAUGUCAAGCUAAAAUAAUAAACAAACACACAAAAAUGUUAUUACAUUAUAGGGAUUGGCUAUAACCAAGCCAAGAUGUAUAACACAAGGUUUUACCACAUUUGUACAGGAAGUGGAACAUCUGACAGUUAACACCUACAGUAUCUAAGAAUUUAUGAGAAGUGAAUUUCGUCAGACAAGCAAAACAACCAAAAAUACCACAAAGACAGACAGUUGGUUCCAGUGAUCAACCUACUUCAACUUAAGUGCAACUUAAGUGCAUACCCAAAUCAUUAUUUUUAUGAACAGGAACUUGACAGGAGGAAUGAGGAAACUACAUAGGUGGAGGGCAGGAAGAUAAAGAAAAAAAGGUGGCAUCUGCAGUCAAGCUGGAGAAGUUACAGUUAACAGUAAAUCUGUGUCAAAAUUCUUGUCGCUCCUCCCUCUACCGUACAACACAUCCUAACUACUACUAGUCACCAAAAGAGGAACCUGCAUCAACAGAUCAAUUUCCAUGCACCUGACUACACAUUGAAGACAGACGGCAAUCAGAGUGAAAUAUGGAUCUAAAAACGUCAUCUCAGAAUUCAGAAAUAGGGCAGAAUUUUCUUCCACUGCAGCAGGACCCUCCAGAGUACACCAGUAUUGGAUUCCCUCCACCUGAGAUCUAUCCCAGCACUUCAGGUCAACCUGCCCAGCAGCAUGGAGCUCCGACAGCAUGUGGCCAGUGCAUCCAGGUGCCAUAUCCAGGGCAAACUACUCAAAAUGCCAACUACUCAGGACAGCAAGUAUUAGCAGAGGAGAACUCCAAAACGGCACGCACCCGGAAUCCUGCCUGGGCUGCAGUCAGCCUUUUUUGUCUUGUUUUGAUUAUUGUCUUUAAAUUUCUGAUUUUUAAGAGUAAAUACAGUAAAGGCUAUUAGAGGUGUCAUGGUUGGGUGCAGAUUACAAAGAGUUCUCUGCUUUAUAAAUGUUAUUUGCUCAAUGUAUCAUUGUACUUAAAAAAAAGUUUGUUAUGGUAUGUUGAAAACAACAGAAGCUUUGAUUGGCGAAUUAAAUUUUUCAUGAAAAACA
Megalobrama amblycephala (Wuchang bream) is the source of this 1137-nucleotide long non-coding RNA. RefSeq lists it as uncharacterized. The record is from RefSeq and is a predicted model, not a curated record. NCBI's taxonomy places the organism in Eukaryota, Metazoa, Chordata, Actinopteri, Cypriniformes, Xenocyprididae. The transcript is spliced from 3 exons.